UGUGUAGGCGGUUGCUUAAGUUUGGUGUGAAAUCUCCCGGCUCAACUGGGAGGGUGCGCCGAAUACUGAGUGACUUCGAGUGCGGGAGAGGAAAGUGGAAUUCCUGGUGUAGCGGUGAAAUGCGUAGAUAUCAGGAGGAACACCGGUGGUGUAGACGGCUUUCUGGACCGUAACUGACGCUGAGACACGAAAGCGUGGGUAGCAAACAGGAUUAGAUACCCUGGUAGUCCACGCCCUAAACGAUGCAUAUUUGGUGUGGGUCAUUCAGUUGAUCCGUGCCGGAGCUAACGCGUUAAAUAUGCCGCCUGGGGAGUACAGUCGCAAGGCUGAA
Molecule: ribosomal RNA, 331 nt
Filed under: uncultured bacterium
Lineage: Bacteria
Description: bacterial SSU rRNA
Rfam family: Bacterial small subunit ribosomal RNA
Source: RNAcentral